Oreochromis aureus is the source of this 527-nucleotide long non-coding RNA. RefSeq lists it as uncharacterized. Lineage: Eukaryota; Metazoa; Chordata; Actinopteri; Cichliformes; Cichlidae. The transcript is spliced from 3 exons. The record is from RefSeq and is a predicted model, not a curated record.
CCUGAGGUUAAUAAGCUCACCUGUUUGUCAUCAGGUGAUUGUCUCACCACUAUUUUGAUUGAGGAACGCCUUCUGUUGUUGACUGAGUUUUAAGCUAUGUUAGUAAAACCGGCUCUCGUGUGCUUUCAGAGGCUGGCUGUCAAGAUUGUUUCCUAAAUGCCUGUGGCAUUUAUCAGAAGAGGGAGACCAGGGGAUUUAAGCUACACUGUCGACUGUGCCUAGAAGGAGAGCUGAGGCCUGACAGGAGUGGGAGGUGAUACGGAGUACUGUUGGAGCCUCUGGGCUUGGAUUGGAAGCAAUGUUUCCAUCAGUCUGUCAGUCUGACCCGCCAGCCUGUGGGAUAUGCUGCUCAGUCACAAGGAAGAUCUCCCUCAAACAUGCAAUAUGUGUGACUGACUGAGGCCUGCCAACUAAGCUGCUGAUGCAGUGCUGACUUAAGUCAUACCUGUGGUUUGUGAACUUUCCAAUGUAAUCAAAUGCAUUUCCGUUGUAGGGAUAAUUAUCAUUAUUAAAUGGUGAAAAAACAG